This 428-nucleotide long non-coding RNA is filed under the name Cicer arietinum (chickpea). RNAcentral's name for it is "long non-coding RNA (CARI_LNC002526)". Lineage: Eukaryota; Viridiplantae; Streptophyta; Magnoliopsida; Fabales; Fabaceae. The record is from RNAcentral.
AGUUAGAUUUUUUCAUUGUUCUUCUUCCUCAUUCUCACGACCAAAUAGAUAUUAAAUGGGGGAAACUCAUACUCUCAAUUCACAACACAAAUAAGCAUGUUAUCUCACUCUCCCUUAUUCAAAUAACAAAUCAACAAAAAGUGAGUUCUCUCGUCCACCUUUAAUUGCAUGUUAGUAUAGUUAUUAGAAUAGAUUGUGGUUGAAAAUUGAUGAUUAGAUAUAAUCAAACCUUGAAUGCAGGUAUUUUUAUGGGUAUUCAAUUGGAAAAACUUCUUGUUAUACAUCAAUGUUAGAACUUGUAUUAGAUGUGAAUUGUAAAAUCCUCUCUAAAGAUUGAUAGGUGACCUGGUUGAAUCCCUUUCUUGGUGGAUAGGAAUUAAUGUAACAGAUCAACGUUGAUCUGAACAAAAUCGUGUAAAAACAAGAUU